UCACAUUUUACCCCUCUAGAAGACUCUGGCAUUAUCAAAAUUCCAUAUUCCAACGGAGAUUCCGCCGGAAGGUAGGGAUUCCGAUGCCGGAAUCUAGCCGGGUAUUACAUUCUUCCCCCCUUUAAGAACAUUCGUCCUCGAAUGUUCAAACAUCAAACAUGCAUCAAGCAUACAUCAGCAAGCAAGCAACAAGCAAGCAAAACCUAAAAACCUCUCUUCUAAAAGAGAGACACGGUCAUUGCUGGAGUAUAAACUCUCGGUCUCCC
RNAcentral lists this long non-coding RNA (266 nucleotides) under Manihot esculenta (cassava). RNAcentral's name for it is "long non-coding RNA (MESC_LNC011457)". Lineage: Eukaryota; Viridiplantae; Streptophyta; Magnoliopsida; Malpighiales; Euphorbiaceae. The record is from RNAcentral.